UGACCUGCGGAGGGAUCAUUACCGAGUUUACAACUCCCAAACCCAAUGUGAACGUUACCAAACUGUUGCCUCGGCGGGAUCUCUGCCCCGGGUGCGUCGCAGCCCCGGACCAAGGCGCCCGCCGGAGGACCAACCAAAACUCUUAUUGUAUACCCCCUCGCGGGUUUUUUUAUAAUCUGAGCCUUCUCGGCGCCUCUCGUAGGCGUUUCGAAAAUGAAUCAAAACUUUCAACAACGGAUCUCUUGGUUCUGGCAUCGAUGAAGAACGCAGCGAAAUGCGAUAAGUAAUGUGAAUUGCAGAAUUCAGUGAAUCAUCGAAUCUUUGAACGCACAUUGCGCCCGCCAGUAUUCUGGCGGGCAUGCCUGUCCGAGCGUCAUUUCAACCCUCGAACCCCUCCGGGGGGUCGGCGUUGGGGAUCGGCCCUGCCUUGGCGGUGGCCGUCUCCGAAAUACAGUGGCGGUCUCGCCGCAGCCUCUCCUGCGCAGUAGUUUGCACACUCGCAUCGGGAGCGCGGCGCGUCCACAGCCGUUAAACACCCAACUUCUGAAAUGUUGACCUCGGAUCAGGUAGGAAUACCCGCUGAACUUAAGCAUAUCAUAA
This 600-nucleotide ribosomal RNA is filed under the name Trichoderma harzianum. Its description in RNAcentral is "eukaryotic LSU rRNA". The stretch from base 223 to 376 matches the Rfam family "5.8S ribosomal RNA". Lineage: Eukaryota; Fungi; Ascomycota; Sordariomycetes; Hypocreales; Hypocreaceae. The record is from RNAcentral.